UAAGGCACUAUCAUUUCAAAAGACUCAUAAUC
This 32-nucleotide non-coding RNA is filed under the name Mus musculus (house mouse). The record is from RNAcentral. Lineage: Eukaryota; Metazoa; Chordata; Mammalia; Rodentia; Muridae.